UAGGGAAUCUUCCACAAUGGACGAAAGUCUGAUGGAGCAACGCCGCGUGAGUGAAGAAGGGUUUCGGCUCGUAAACUCUGUUGUUAAGAAGAACAUAUCUGAGAGUAACUGUUCAGGUAUUGACGGUAUUUAACCAGAAAGCCACGGCUAACUACGUGCCAG
This 162-nucleotide ribosomal RNA is filed under the name uncultured bacterium. Its description in RNAcentral is "partial 16S ribosomal RNA". It matches the Rfam family "Bacterial small subunit ribosomal RNA", at positions 355 to 511 of the family's 1533-position model. The record is from RNAcentral.